RNAcentral lists this microRNA precursor (124 nucleotides) under Hordeum vulgare. RNAcentral describes it as "microRNA MIR1122". It matches the Rfam family "MIR1120/MIR1122 microRNA precursor family". Lineage: Eukaryota; Viridiplantae; Streptophyta; Magnoliopsida; Poales; Poaceae. The record is from RNAcentral.
AUAAUACUCCCUUCGUCCGAAAAUAUUUGUCCUAGAGAUGAAUGUAUCUAGACUUAUUUUAGUUAUAGAUACAUCCAUUAUAUCCAUUUCUAGGACAAGUAUAUCCGGACGAAGGGAGUAUAUA